Molecule: ribosomal RNA, 641 nt
Filed under: uncultured bacterium
Lineage: Bacteria
Description: bacterial SSU rRNA
Rfam family: Bacterial small subunit ribosomal RNA
Source: RNAcentral
GCAGUCGAACGGCAGCACGGGUGCUUGCACCUGGUGGCGAGUGGCGAACGGGUGAGUAAUACAUCGGAACGUACCUUAUCGUGGGGGAUAACGCAGCGAAAGCUGUGCUAAUACCGCAUACGCCCUGAGGGGGAAAGCGGGGGAUCGAAAGACCUCGCGCGAUUAGAGCGGCCGAUGCCUGAUUAGCUUGUUGGUGGGGUAAAAGCCCACCAAGGCGACGAUCAGUAGCUGGUCUGAGAGGACGAUCAGCCACACUGGGACUGAGACACGGCCCAGACUCCUACGGGAGGCAGCAGUGGGGAAUUUUGGACAAUGGGGGAAACCCUGAUCCAGCAAUGCCGCGUGAGUGAAGAAGGCCUUCGGGUUGUAAAGCUCUUUUGUCAGGGAAGAAACACCGGCUCUAACACAGUCCGGGAAUGACGGUACCUGAAGAAUAAGCACCGGCUAACUACGUGCCAGCAGCCGCGGUAAUACGUAGGGUGCAAGCGUUAAUCGGAAUUACUGGGCGUAAAGCGUGCGCAGGCGGUUAUACAAGACAGGCGUGAAAUCCCCGGGCUUAACCUGAGAAUGGCGCCUGUGACUGUAUAGCUAGAGUGUGUCAGAGGGGGGUAGAAUUCCACGUGUAGCAGUGAAAUGCGUAG